RNAcentral lists this ribosomal RNA (372 nucleotides) under uncultured organism. Its description in RNAcentral is "bacterial SSU rRNA". It matches the Rfam family "Bacterial small subunit ribosomal RNA", at positions 526 to 896 of the family's 1533-position model. The record is from RNAcentral.
CAGAGGUGCCGAGCGUUAGGCGGAAUCACUGGGCUUAAAGCGCGCGUAGGCGGACGUUUAAGUGUCUUGUGAAAUCCCACGGCUCAACCGUGGAACUGCUGGGCAUACUGGACGUCUCGAGGCACUCAGGGGCGAGUGGAACAAGUGGUGGAGCGGUGAAAUGCGUAGAUAUCACUUGGAACGCCAAUGGUGAAGACAGCUCGCUGGGGGUGUCCUGACGCUGAGGCGCGAAAGCCAGGGGAGCGAACGGGAUUAGAUACCCCGGUAGUCCUGGCCCUAAACGAUGUCCACUAGAUCAUGGCGGCUCUGACGCCGUCAUGGUCGGAGCAAAAGUGUUAAGUGGACCGCCUGGGAAGUACGGUCGCAAGGCUA